This 376-nucleotide ribosomal RNA is filed under the name uncultured organism. RNAcentral's name for it is "bacterial SSU rRNA". It matches the Rfam family "Bacterial small subunit ribosomal RNA", at positions 526 to 896 of the family's 1533-position model. The record is from RNAcentral.
CGUAGGGUGGCAAGCGUUGUCCGGAAUUAUUGGGCGUAAAGAGCUCGUAGGCGGUUUGUUGCGUCGGCUGUGAAAUCCGAGGCUCAACCUCGGGUCUGCAGUCGAUACGAGCAAACUAGAGUGUUGCAGGGGAGACUGGAAUUCCUGGUGUAGCGGUGAAAUGCGCAGAUAUCAGGAGGAACACCGGUGGCGAAGGCGGGUCUCUGGGCAACAACUGACGCUGAGGAGCGAAAAGCGUGGGGAGCGAACAGGAUUAGAUACCCUGGUAGUCCACGCCGUAAACGUUGGGCGCUAGGUGUGGGGCUCGAUUCCACGAGUUCCGUGCCGCAGCUAACGCAUUAAGCGCCCCGCCUGGGGGAGUACGGCCGCAAGGCUA